CAGCAGCCACGGUAAUACGGAGGGGGCUAGCGUUGUUCGGAAUUACUGGGCGUAAAGCGUACGUAGGCGGCUUUGUAAGUUAGAGGUGAAAGCCUGGUGCUCAACACCAGAACUGCCUUUAAGACUGCAUCGCUUGAACGUCGGAGAGGUGAGUGGAAUUCCGAGUGUAGAGGUGAAAUUCGUAGAUAUUCGGAAGAACACCAGUGGCGAAGGCGGCUCACUGGACGACUGUUGACGCUGAGGUACGAAAGCGUGGGGAGCAAACAGGAUUAGAUACCCCGGUAGUCCCUGUCUCUUAUAC
RNAcentral lists this ribosomal RNA (301 nucleotides) under uncultured bacterium. RNAcentral's name for it is "partial 16S ribosomal RNA". It matches the Rfam family "Bacterial small subunit ribosomal RNA", at positions 509 to 807 of the family's 1533-position model. The record is from RNAcentral.